AUCACAUUUAUCUUUACAUAUUUGUCGUCUUUCUUG
This 36-nucleotide small RNA is filed under the name Plasmodium falciparum 3D7. RNAcentral describes it as "Pfa-rasR6646". Lineage: Eukaryota; Apicomplexa; Aconoidasida; Haemosporida; Plasmodiidae. The record is from RNAcentral.